This 253-nucleotide ribosomal RNA is filed under the name uncultured bacterium. Its description in RNAcentral is "partial 16S ribosomal RNA". It matches the Rfam family "Bacterial small subunit ribosomal RNA", at positions 524 to 776 of the family's 1533-position model. The record is from RNAcentral.
UACGGGGGGGGCUAGCGUUGUUCGGAAUUACUGGGCGUAAAGGGCUCGUAGGUGGCCAACUAAGUCAGACGUGAAAUCCCUCGGCUUAACCGGGGAACUGCGUCUGAUACUGGAUGGCUUGAAUCCGGGAGAGGGAUGCGGAAUUCCAGGUGUAGCGGUGAAAUGCGUAGAUAUCUGGAGGAACACCGGUGGCGAAGGCGGCAUCCUGGACCGGCAUUGACACUGAGGAGCGAAAGCCAGGGGAGCAAACGGG